GGCAUGAUGAAGGUGGCUCAGGUGGUUAGAACGUGGUGUUAAAAAUGCCAAGGUUGUGGGUUUGAUCCCCGUAUGGGCCA
This is a non-coding RNA of Podarcis lilfordi (Lilford's wall lizard), 80 nucleotides long. The record is from the annotation of a GenBank genome assembly. NCBI's taxonomy places the organism in Eukaryota, Metazoa, Chordata, Lepidosauria, Squamata, Lacertidae.